UGAUUUCAUUUUGAUAAAAUUGGAACGAUAUAGAGAAGAUUAGCAUGGUCCUGUACAAGGAUGACAUGAACAAAUCGAGAAAUGGUAUGAGAGCUAAUUUUU
This is a small nuclear RNA of Cucurbita moschata (crookneck pumpkin), 102 nucleotides long. The record is from RefSeq and is a predicted model, not a curated record. NCBI's taxonomy places the organism in Eukaryota, Viridiplantae, Streptophyta, Magnoliopsida, Cucurbitales, Cucurbitaceae.